CCAAAAUAACGACUGUCUGCGGCAGCAUCCACUUGGCACUGGGCUCGACACGAACAGCGAGUCAUGUAUUGACUUAGCGGAGCAGCAUUCAAAUGCCACUUUCACCCACCUACGUUGAGGCUCUCAGGUACUUUAUCCGAUUUUGAGAUAUAUUAAUUAGUAUUGAUUCAAGUUCAUCCCACCGUAGUGUGACCGAUGAAAACAGCGCUGGCGCAGCACAGCUCAUUGAUCAGACGAUGAACAGCAGAUAGCAGACUGCAGCUCCAGCUCGAAAACAUCAUCACAUCCGUUCUUGUGAACUCCUCUCUCGAGUUCGAAGUAUCGGCAUUUUGGAUGGUUCAGCAGGACAGCAGGUUUAGGACAGCCCAAUAGAUGCUGCCCAGGCAAGCGGCAGUGACCCUCCUUCUAGAGCGAAUAGAGAAAGGCCACAGAAUGAAUGGUCUUGCCGAGGCCCAUCUCAUCGGCUAGAAUGGUGUCGAUGGCCUGUCGAGGCUCUUCAGGUACUUUAUCCGAUUUUGAGAUAUUUUAAUUAGUAUUGAUUCAAGUUCAUCCCACCGUAGUGUGAGCGAUGAAAACAGCGCUGGCGCAGCACAGCUCAUUGAUCAGACGAUGAACAUCAGAUAGCAGACUGCAGCUCCAGCUCGAAAACAUCAUCACUUCCGAUCUUGUGAACCAAGUACCAAGCGGAUGCUGCCGCAGACAGUCGUCAUUUUGG
Molecule: long non-coding RNA, 715 nt
Filed under: Drosophila guanche
Lineage: Eukaryota; Metazoa; Arthropoda; Insecta; Diptera; Drosophilidae
Source: RNAcentral